AAUGAGCGGUAAGCGCGACGGCGCAUACUAAAAAACAAAUAUUAAAGAUUAACUAAGGAUUUACGGACUAUGUACAGUUCUCAAAAAAACUAUGAGUCAAAAAUGAAAUUGAAAUUAAAAAGGAUUGAAGAGAAAGGAAUGUCUGCUUGUGAAGGUAAUGAAUGAUAGUAUUAGUUACCAGGACAUUUCUUAAAGUUUUUCCAAAAUAUUUAAAAAGCAAUACAGCAAAGAAGUGACAUGAAGUUUAAACGAUAAGAGAACACCUG
Schizosaccharomyces pombe (fission yeast) is the source of this 266-nucleotide non-coding RNA. The record is from the annotation of a GenBank genome assembly. NCBI's taxonomy places the organism in Eukaryota, Fungi, Ascomycota, Schizosaccharomycetes, Schizosaccharomycetales, Schizosaccharomycetaceae.